This 564-nucleotide ribosomal RNA is filed under the name Triticum aestivum (bread wheat). Its description in RNAcentral is "partial small subunit ribosomal RNA". The record is from RNAcentral. Lineage: Eukaryota; Viridiplantae; Streptophyta; Magnoliopsida; Poales; Poaceae.
AUGGAUAAAUCACUUCAUAGGUUGGACAGGAGAAGGCAACAGAAGAUAAAGGACUGGGACAAGCAUCAUUCUGCGUAUGUUACCCGCUUCCAGCUUUGUGUGGAGCAAGCUCGUAGCACUGCACGCGCCCUGCUUCAUGAGCACAACCCAAUUGCUUUUGAUAACUACGUAAGAUGGUUUAUUGGAACUACUCGAGUUGAGAUAUGCCCGCCGGCAUAUAAUGAGGAUAUGCUUGAAGAACCCGUAAACUUUGAGGAUCUAGCAAAGGGGAAGUACAACAGAGAUGUCAGGCAAGGGCAAGGAGUCCCAGCUGUUCCGGUGAUUAACUAUGUGCGCACCGAGAUCAAGAAAGCAGAUGAUGAGAGCCAGUCUAUUCUGGAGAAGACACCGGUUGGAACUGGCAAUGAUGAUGGUUCACUACGAGCAUUCCUCAAGCGUCAGGCCAAGAAGUUAAGGCGGUUAUUGAACCUUCUCGUUGCCGUGAUCCUGAAUAUGAUGAACCAUCUGCCUCUAGUUCUGGUACACCAUCAGACCCCGCACCUCACCAUGAGGAGGACGAUGUGA